UGGGGAAUAUUGGACAAUGGGCGAAAGCCUGAUCCAGCGACGCCGCGUGGGUGAAGAAGGCCUGCGGGUUGUAAAGCCCUUUCGGUUGGGAAGAAAAGUGUCGACCUAACACGUCGGCACCUUGACGUAACCAACAAAAGAAGCACCGGCUAACUCUGUGCCAGCAGCCGCGGUAAUACAGAGGGUGCGAGCGUUAAUCGGAAUUACUGGGCGUAAAGCGCGCGUAGGCGGUUGGACAAGUCGAGUGUGAAAUCCCCGGGCUCAACCUGGGAGCGGCAUUCGAAACUGUUCGGCUAGAGUAUGGGAGAGGGAAGUGGAAUUUCAGGUGUAGCGGUGAAAUGCGUAGAUAUCUGAAGGAACAUCAGUGGCGAAAGCGACUUCCUGGACCAAUACUGACGCUCAGGUGCGAAAGCGUGGGGAGCAAACAG
Molecule: ribosomal RNA, 428 nt
Filed under: uncultured bacterium
Lineage: Bacteria
Description: bacterial SSU rRNA
Rfam family: Bacterial small subunit ribosomal RNA
Source: RNAcentral